AGGACAGUGUUCUGGGGCAAUGGACUCAUAAUCCGUUGGUCGUGGGUUCGAGCCCCACCCGUCCCAC
Molecule: transfer RNA, 67 nt
Filed under: Nocardia wallacei
Lineage: Bacteria; Bacillati; Actinomycetota; Actinomycetes; Mycobacteriales; Nocardiaceae
Description: tRNA-Met
Rfam family: tRNA
About the family: Transfer RNA (tRNA) molecules are approximately 80 nucleotides in length. Their secondary structure includes four short double-helical elements and three loops (D, anti-codon, and T loops).
Source: RNAcentral